UCUUUUUGUCUCUGUGUUUCUGUCUGUCUUUUUUUCUUUCUGUGUCUGUCUUUGUUCGUUUUAAUCGUGUUGUCAAAUUAUCGCAAAAAAUAGUUGGUCGGAGUUUCCAUAGAUUUCCUCGGUGGCAGAUGUAGAAUAAAUGUACGACAUGGAUCGUUGAAUCACCUUACAUACAAUACAUAUAUAGGGUUACGUGCGACAAGUCGAUAUCUAUACGUCCGAUAAGGAAACAAGCUUACGACAAUGAAGUCACAUACUGAGAAAUACGAUAAUUACCGCAAAAUCUUACGAAUAAAAAUAAUAAAAGGAAAAAACAGAAGAUGAAGAGGAAGAAGAAGACGAAGAAGUAGAAACAAGUUAGGGAUUGGAUUUUCUUGGUUUUUUUGCGUUUGGUGAUGUGCUAGCACGUAGUGUACACGAUGCGGUCACGUUCGUACACGUAUGUACUACUUCCUGCGCGAUUCACGACGCUUCUUACUCGGAAUUCAAAUGUACAAGUAUGUAUCUCGUCCCGUCGUUUACAAUCCUUGGGUAUCGUCUCGUCUCGUCUCGUCUCG
Long non-coding RNA from Vespula pensylvanica (western yellowjacket), 557 nucleotides. RefSeq lists it as uncharacterized. The record is from RefSeq and is a predicted model, not a curated record. The transcript has 3 exons. NCBI's taxonomy places the organism in Eukaryota, Metazoa, Arthropoda, Insecta, Hymenoptera, Vespidae.